RNAcentral lists this ribosomal RNA (218 nucleotides) under uncultured bacterium. Its description in RNAcentral is "partial 16S ribosomal RNA". It matches the Rfam family "Bacterial small subunit ribosomal RNA", at positions 27 to 242 of the family's 1533-position model. The record is from RNAcentral.
GGACGAACGCUGGCGGCGUGCUUAACACAUGCAAGUCGAGCGGUAAAGGCCCCUUCGGGGGUACACGAGCGGCGAACGGGUGAGUAACACGUGGGUGACCUGCCCUCAGCCUCUGGGAUAAGCCUGGGAAACUGGGUCUAAUACCGGAUAUGACUCCAUGACGCAUGGUCGUGGGGUGGAAAGCCUUGUGCGGCUGGGGGAUGGGCCCGCGGCCUAUC